GGACUACCGGGGUAUCUAAUCCCGUUUGCUCCCCUGGCUUUCGCGCCUCAGCGUCAGGUGAGGUCCAGCACGCCGCUUUCGCCACCGGCGUUCCUUCCGAUAUCUACGCAUUUCACCGCUCCACCGGAAGUUCCGCAUGCCCCUACCUCCCUCGAGCCCCCCAGUAUCAGGGGCACUUGUCCGGUUGGGCCGAACGAUUUCACCCCUGACUUGGGAAGCCGCCUACGCGCCCUUUAAGCCCAGUGAAUCCGAACAACGUUCGCACGGUUCGUCUUACCGCGGCGGCUGGCAC
RNAcentral lists this ribosomal RNA (292 nucleotides) under uncultured Planctomycetota bacterium. RNAcentral describes it as "uncultured planctomycete partial 16S ribosomal RNA". The record is from RNAcentral. Lineage: Bacteria; Pseudomonadati; Planctomycetota.